Molecule: non-coding RNA, 2558 nt
Organism: Equus caballus (horse)
Lineage: Eukaryota; Metazoa; Chordata; Mammalia; Perissodactyla; Equidae
Source: RefSeq, a predicted model, not a curated record
CCCGCCCCUCCUCCGACGCGCCGCUCUGCCCAGCCCCUCCUCCGACGCGCCCGGCCCCUCUCGCUUUCGCGGGCUCGGCCAGGAGACCUGGGCUGCGCGCGGCGCAUGGCGCUUGCCGGGAGAGUCAUGGCUACUUUCCGCUUGGCCCUCAUCCAACUUCAAGUUUCUUCCGUCAAAUCAGAUAACCUCACUCGAGCUUGUGGCCUUGUCCGGGAGGCGGCAGCACAAGGAGCCAAAAUAGUUUGUCUGCCAGAAUGCUUUAAUUCUCCAUAUGGCACGAACUAUUUUCCUCAAUAUGCGGAGAAAAUUCCUGGUGAAUCCACACAGAAGCUUUCUGAAGUAGCAAAGGAGUGCAGCAUAUAUCUCAUUGGAGGUUCCAUUCCUGAAGAGGAUGCUGGGAAAUUAUAUAACACCUGUGCUGUGUUUGGGCCUGAUGGCGCUUUAUUGGUAAAGCACAGAAAGCUCCAUCUGUUUGACAUUGAUGUUCCUGGGAAAAUUACCUUUCAAGAAUCUAAAACACUGAGUCCUGGUGAUAGUUUCUCCACAUUUGAUACUCCUUACUGCAGAGUGGGCCUGGGCAUCUGCUACGACCUCCGCUUUGCAGAGCUUGCACAGAUCUACGCACAGAGAGGCUGCCAGCUGUUGGUAUAUCCUGGAGCUUUUAAUUUGACCACUGGACCAGCCCACUGGGAGCUCCUUCAGCGAGGCAGGGCUGUUGAUAAUCAGGUGUAUGUGGCCACGGCAUCUCCUGCCCGGGAUGACAAAGCCUCCUAUGUUGCCUGGGGACACAGCACCGUUGUGACCCCUUGACGAGGAAAUGGAGACUCCAAAUGACCUGCCACGAGGCCACACAGCUACUCAAAUGGGGGGAGGUCCUCGCCACGGCUGGCACUGAAGAGAUGAUCGUGUACUCGGACAUCGACCUGAAGAAGUUGGCUGAAAUACGCCAGCAAAUCCCUAUUUUUAGCCAGAAGCGAUUAGACCUCUAUGCAGUGGAGGCGAAGAAGCCCUAAGGUUUACAUUUCCAACGCGUCAUGAAACAAGAAGAUGUGUUUCUGCAACAUAAUCAACUCCCUGCUGAAUUCUUUAAUGGAGUCGUUUUUGUUUGUUUGUUUUUUGUUUUAAUUUCAGCCUUUUCCCUUCCUGGGAGCUCUCCAUUGAGAUGACGGAGCGUCAGCACACUGACAUCUCCACACCGUGUUAAAUAGUCCAAAAGGGCUCAGGCUGGCAUUGAAGAGCAGGGGAGCCAGGGAUGGCUCUAAACCUCCUUCUGUACCUAAGUUGCCUCAGAGCAGUUGAUGGAAGUUCCGAUCUUGGUGUCCUGGUGGUCGAUUCACUGGCUACGAAUGUAUCUGUCCCGAGCCUCUCGUCUCACUACUGGAGUCCAUCACACAGAAACCUGGGCCUGGGGCUGCUCCUUCUCGAGCAGUACCUCACGCUCUGCUCCGAGUGGCUAUGGGAGCAGGGUGGUGGGUUGUUGGUGUUUGCCAGCGGAGGUGGCAGCCCCACUCUUCCUAGCAGCCUUUGGGCUCUUCAAAUUCAGGGAGCUGACAGUGCAACCCAGACGCCCCUGGUCGAGGGGAAAGACGUUUCCACAGAGAGCCCAGUGCGGCGUUUGCUCCAGGCAACGGAAGAUGAGUCUCUGCAGGUUUCCUGAUAGGAUGAGUGUCUGGAAAGCUUUCUGUUUGCUUUUCUCCCUAGUAACAUUUCUAGCUUGAUAAAAGCAGAUUUCAGCCUGGUGCUUCUCAGAUUCCUUUUGCACAAUUAAAAAUCAAGAAUUCUAAUGAGCUUUAAUUUAUGUAUGUUAUGGCUAGUGUUGGGCUGGUAAACGUUUAACAACCAGCUGUCGGAGAAAAAGCCCUGAUUUUGUAGUAGCAUUUGCCAACUUCCAUGGUGUAAAUACUUACACCAUGGCCAAAUUCAGGCCGUCAAUGUGACACCUCUAAACUGAGCGCUCAGAUGCAGUCAGCUCUCAUGAGCUGGUGCAGUCUGCUCUGACACAUCACUGUAUGUAGAGACAGUUCCCAUACUGGAAAAUAAAACAAUUUUAAAACAAAAGAAUACAUGAGCACACAUUCAGUAACUGUAAGAAUGAUGACAUCGUGUCCUCAGAAGAGUACGAGAGUGAAAAAGGCAAAGGGCUUUUUAAAAUUGUGUACAAUUUGGUCAAGUCUGACAGAGGUAUACAUCCAUGAACCCGCUGCAAUCGCGAUAAUGAACAUACCCACCUCACCCCCAAAUUUGCUGCUCUUCUAUAACCCCCUAGCUACUCUCAUCCGCAGGCAAUCAUUAGUCGGCUUUGUCACUAUGGAUUAGUUUGAAUUUUCUAGAAUUACCUUAAAAUGGAAUCAUACUGUGUAUGUACUUUUUUGUCUGUCUGCUUUCACUCAUAAUUAAUCUGGAGAUUGAUCCACGUGUGUGCAUCAGUAAUUCAUUCCUUUUCUAUUGCUGAAUGACAGUCCACUGUAUGGAUACACCAUAAUUUACCCGUUCUCAAGACAUCUGGGUUGUUUCCAGUUUUUGGCUAUUACAAAUAAAGCUGCUGGAAACAUUUUGUA